GCGCCGCCGCACGGGCUCCUGCUCCCGGGAACCCCCGCCCUACGGGCUCUUGCUCCCGGGAGCCACCGCCGCACGGGCUCCUGCUCCCGGGAACCGCCGCCCGCGCUUGUGGCGGCGAGUCACGGAAUCAACUGGGUUGGAUAAGGCCUCUAAGAUCAUUGCGACCGACUUGGGCCGAGCACCAUGUCAACCCGACCAUGGCACCAAGUGGCACAUCCGGAUUUUCCUUGAACACUUCUAGGGAUGGUGACUCCACCACCUCCCUGGGCAGCCCAUUCUAGUGUCUAAUCAUCCUUUCUGGAAGGAAAUUCUUCCUAAUGUCCAGCCCAAAGCUCCCCUGGCACAGCUUAAGACAAUAUCCUCACACUGCCCACGUACCUUCCCAAAAGGACAGCCCCUGCCCGGUUACGGCCUCUUUUCGGAGGAAAGGAGCGCCUCAAUGUCCUUGAAUUGAGAACUAUGUCCUCGUGUCCUGUCACUAGCCUGGGAGAAGAGGCCUACCCCUACGAGGGAACAAGGUCGUUUCAGGUUGUAUCCAGGUACCAGCUAACGUCCCAGUCUGUCCAAGUACUUUGCUUUGGUCCUUUCACAGUGUGAACGGAGAUGCACUGAGAUGCAAAGCUCUGAAAGGAAAUCAUGGAUGCCAGCAGCUGUGAUCCCAAAGAUCUCUUUCUAUAAGGAGUAUUUUACAAAGGGCUUAAUACUUAUAUCCUUGUUGAUUUUGAUGACCUGGACAAGGGGAUCGAGUGCAUUCUGAAUCAGUUCACAGGUGACACCAAGCUGGGUGGGAGUGCUGAUCUGGUGGAGGGUAGGAAGGCUCUGCAGAGGGAUCUGGACAGCCUGGAUCAUGGCUGGGGCCAAUGGUGUGAGGUUCAACAAGGCCCAGUGCUGGGUCCUGCCUCUGAGUCACAACAGCCCCAGGCAGCUCCACAGGCUGGGGCAGAGUGGCUGGAAAGGAGCUGGGGGUGCUGGUGACAGCAGCUGAACAUGAGCCAGGGUGUGCCCAGGUGGCCAAGAAGGCCAAUGGCAUCCUGGCCUGGAUCAGCCAUGGUGUGGCCAGCAGGGCCAGGGCAGGGAUUGUCCUCCUGCACUGGGCACUGGUGAGAGCACAUCUUGAGUGCUGUGUUUAGUUUUGGGCUCUUCACUACAGGAAGGUCAUUCUGGUGUUGGAGUGAGUCCAGAGAAAGGCAGUGGAGGUGGUGAAGGGUCUGGAGCACAAGUCCUGUGAGGAAUGGCCAAGGGAGCUAAGGGUGUUCAGUCUGGAGAAAAGGAGUCUCAGGGAGGACCUUAUCAGUCUGCAAGUACUUGAAAGGACACUAUAGAUGGGUGGGGUUCAGUUUUUCCUCCCAAGUAAUGUUAGAACAAGAGAAAAUGGCCUCAAGUUGCAUUGCACUGGGGAAGGUUUAUUAUGAAUAAUUAUUAUUUUUGUAUUACUUUAUAAUAUUUAAAAAUUAUUUUACAAUAAUUUUUCAUUGUAUUAUGAAAAAUUUCUUCACUGAAAUGGUUGUCAAGCAUUGCAACAAGCUGCCCAGGAAAGUGGUUGGAGUCACCAUUCCUGGAAAUGUUGAGGACACGUUUUAGUGGUGGAUAUGGUGGUGGUGCUGGGUUGAUGGUUAGACUUGAUGAACUUAGAGGUGUAAUUUUAAGAAAAACCUAACUAUUCUAUCAGCUUUUCUGUCAUAUGGCUUUUCUUGAGGCAGGCUGCAAGAAGGCUUAGGAGGUAAAUAGGGAAAUAAGCUUUGCAUUGCCUUCAGGCCCAGUUUAUCUCUGUGUUGUUGUGGAGUCUGGAGCAAAGAUUAAAAAAAAGAGGCAAUCCGUACCUUCCCUCCCCCAUGUCAGGAACUUUUCCUCUUGGUUGCCUAAGUGGAAUUCCUAUCAGUGUAAAUGAAAAGUAAAUAAGUGCAUUGGAGAUGGAUAUAUGACUUGACUUGAAAAAAGUGGAGCUUUUUUUUGUGUGUUUUAGAAAAGCAAAAAUUCUUUUGAAACCUGUCUGAAAUUUGAAACCCUUGAAACCAACAAUUAUUUUUUUUAAUGAAGCAGGAUCAAAACCAGGAGUGUUGACAUAAAUACGAAAGGAUGUAUUUUAGAGCUGAUACUUCACUUGCCAUAAGAUUUCUAUAUCUUAAUUGCCCAUGAAUCCUGACUUUUAAUAAUCCAUAUAGUUCCAUUAAAACAGUGAGUCUCCUGAUGCAUAUUAGGAACCAAACAUGUAAGGAGAAUUAAACAGCAGGGUCCUUUUCUAUUUCCCUUACCCCAUUAUUUGGAAUUUGAACAAGUUACAGACACUUCUGUAAAUAAAAUCUGUAAUGUUUGCAGCUUCUCUGUAUUCUGUAUACUUAAAAUCUUAUCGAAUUACAUAACCAGGUCAAACAUUAUAGUGAUUGAGGCUUCCUUGCAGAUGCUGUUUAAAGAUUACAGUCACACACUUAUGACUUCCUUACAAAUUGUGACCGACAUUAUGAAAGUUUCUUGGAAACACAAUUGAUUAAUCAUGUUUUUAUUCUUGCUUCUUAUUUAACCUCCAGUAAUUUAAGAUGGAGUUUGUACUUCAGAGAAAACAGAAGAGUGAAAAGGGAAUUGCUAGUAACUCCAUCAUUUUUAUUGAAAAUGUUGAUUAAAAGGUCAAAUAGUCCCUUCCAGACAGCAGAUAAACUUUCUACUUUGUGAAAUACAUUAAAGAAGGUUGUGCUGAGCACCAAAUCCCCUUUAAUCUGUAACAUAUUCCAACAUAAAACUCAGAAUAGAAAUAAAAACUGAAAAAAUUA
This is a long non-coding RNA of Serinus canaria (Common canary), 2765 nucleotides long. RefSeq lists it as uncharacterized. The record is from RefSeq and is a predicted model, not a curated record. The transcript has 3 exons. Lineage: Eukaryota; Metazoa; Chordata; Aves; Passeriformes; Fringillidae.